This is a long non-coding RNA of Hippoglossus stenolepis (Pacific halibut), 1014 nucleotides long. RefSeq lists it as uncharacterized. The record is from RefSeq and is a predicted model, not a curated record. The transcript is spliced from 3 exons. NCBI's taxonomy places the organism in Eukaryota, Metazoa, Chordata, Actinopteri, Pleuronectiformes, Pleuronectidae.
AGGUGUGACUCUUCAGUCAGCCACAGUGUCGUCAUUGACACAGGUGGGACAGCGAUGGAUGUGUCCAAGUCAUCUGGUAUUGAAAGAGCUGAGGACGUGGUCUACUCUGGAGUCAAGGUCAAAUCACCCAGAGGUGAGACGACCUCGAGCAAUGACGAACACAGGAUGCCAUCGAAUGCAGACGUGACAUACGCAGAAGUGACGGUUUUGGGUCGGAAGCCAAAAUGAGAGCAAAAAAUAAGAAAUCACUUUUAAAGCUGCUGUAUGUAAGUUACAUUUAUUAUAGUCUUGGUAUCAUUCCACAUUUUCUAAUAUGGAUGAAUGGACCUGUAGUCUUAGUGCCAGCUCAACGACAGCCAUUCUCACCGCUCUGUGAGGUCACGAUUUUCACCAUUUUAGCAUCGAUCAAUUAAUCAAUCAAUGAAUUAUCAAUUUAAUAACUGGCACGAGACAAACUACAGCUGAGGCUGAUGAGAGUAUAACCUAAACUACAAUGACCCUUCACUUCGCUUCACUAGAUUUCUUGUAAAUCAGUGGCGUAGUUUUUGCUAAAUCCCUUUGCAUUAGAAAACAUAACCUUUUUGGAGAAGGUAACAACACUUUGUCCUGAGAGGCAGCUCGAUGAAAAAUCUGUUAUAGAGGUAACUCCAAUACAUCCUCCUUUAAUGUGUGAAUUAGAUCUGAUCACCUGUAGCUGCUGCUAUAUUUCAAUAAAGAGCUUCUGCGUUCUGCGUCCAUCAACUUUCAGUCAUUUGUGCAGAAAUUGCUUCAUGUCAAUGUUUCUGUGGCUGUUUUCCUUGCUUAAGAAAGUUACAAAAUACGGUUUGCACAGUUGCUGUCAUGGUGGAUACCUGCUUGUGCUUUUUCUCAUAUGCAACUGGCCACUAUAUUUUUGAAGGUGUACAUUGGUCUUUUUCAUGUUGGACACAUCAGUGAACAUCACUGACUAUGUCUCAUCAUUUCCUGCAAUACAUGUUAUGGAUUUUAAAAUAAAGACAAGAUAAUGACAGAUAA